AAGCAAAACCAAUUUAUGGUGCCAACAAAAGCUUCAUCAAAGGAGUUCAACCACAAUUCUCAAAAGCUUCACACUCUUGAUCAAGACAGUGUGAAGCAAAACCAAUUUAUGGUGCCAACAAGAGCUUCAUCAAAGGAGUUCAACCACAAUUCUCAAAAGCUUCACACACUCUUGAUCAAGACAGUAUGAAGCAAAACCAAUUUAUGGUGCCAACAAAAGCUUCAUCAAUGGAGGGCAACUACAAUUCUCAAACCUUCGAA
Molecule: long non-coding RNA, 260 nt
Filed under: Malus domestica (apple)
Lineage: Eukaryota; Viridiplantae; Streptophyta; Magnoliopsida; Rosales; Rosaceae
Description: long non-coding RNA (MDOM_LNC003024)
Source: RNAcentral